UACGUAGGGUGCGAGCGUUAAUCGGAAUUACUGGGCGUAAAGCGUGCGUAGACGGUUAUGUAAGUCGGGUGUGAAAGCCCCGGGCUCAACCUGGGAAUGCCAUUCGAGACUGCAUAGCUAGGGUGCGGAAGAGGGAAGCGGAAUUUCCGGUGUAGCGGUGAAAUGCGUAGAUAUCGGAAGGAACACCAGUGGCGAAAGCGGCUUCCUGGUCCAGCACCGACGUUCAGGCACGAAAGCGUGGGGAGCAAACAGG
Molecule: ribosomal RNA, 253 nt
Filed under: uncultured bacterium
Lineage: Bacteria
Description: partial 16S ribosomal RNA
Rfam family: Bacterial small subunit ribosomal RNA
Source: RNAcentral